RNAcentral lists this ribosomal RNA (497 nucleotides) under uncultured bacterium. RNAcentral describes it as "partial 16S ribosomal RNA". It matches the Rfam family "Bacterial small subunit ribosomal RNA", at positions 28 to 507 of the family's 1533-position model. The record is from RNAcentral.
GACGAACGCUGGCGGCGUGCCUAAUACAUGCAAGUCGAACGCUGAAGCGAGGAGCUUGCUCUUCUUGGCUUAGUUGCGAACGGGUGAGUAACGCGUAGGUAACCUGCCUUUUAGCGGGGGAUAACUAUUGGAAACGAUAGCUAAUACCGCAUAACAUUGUAUACCACAUGUCUUUUAUUUGAAGGGGGCAAUUGCUCCACUACAAGAUGGACCUGCGUUGUCUUAGCUUGUAGGUGAGGUAAUGGCUCACCUAGGCGACGAUACCUAACCGACCUGGGAGGGUGAAUCGGCAAACUGGGAACGGGACCAGGGCCAGGCUUCUAAGGGAGGGAGCAGGAGGGGAACUUCGGGAAAGGGGGGAACGCUGGACGAGGAAAGCCGGGGGAGGGAAGAAGGGUUUCGGAUUGGAAAGAUCCGUUGUAAGGCAAGAAAGAAUGUGAGAGUUGAAAGUGCACACUGUGACGGUAGCUAACCAGAAAGGGACGGCUAACUACGUG